This 1428-nucleotide long non-coding RNA is filed under the name Nicotiana benthamiana. RNAcentral describes it as "long non-coding RNA (NBEN_LNC008629)". The record is from RNAcentral. Lineage: Eukaryota; Viridiplantae; Streptophyta; Magnoliopsida; Solanales; Solanaceae.
AACAAAAUUACUACACUAGAUUGUUACUAUACUGCAUUGACCAAAACUUAACCAAGGAAGAAUUCUUUCAGAAUCUACGACCUAAGACUAACAUGUAUUCUAUGGUACAGUUAAAACAUGUUUAAAGAAAAGUGAUGUCAAGCUAAGUAUUCUGUUUUUGAAAGCAUUACACUGCUUGAUCAAAACAAAUUCAUGGCUGCAAAAUAAGACCAAGUUGAACUUAAGAAUGAUCGUAAUAGCAUUCACGACGCUUAUAUUCAAACUCUAGAUUCCACCAGUCGUCGAUCAAUUUUAAGGCAAAACACAAAUUACUCGUCAAAGAAAUCAGCAGAUGUGAACAAAUUGCACAUCAACAAACCAAAGACGAAUGGACCUAAUUUGGAAACUUAACUAUAAUCUAAACGCUUUAUUUUUCAACUACUCAUAUUCUAACACAUCGUGCAGCUAGAAGGAACAUCGCAUUACAAGAACAGAUUGACCAAACAACAUCCUCGAGCAUGAAUCGCAACUAGAAACUAACUCCAAACACAAUCCCUACUAAAAGACACCAAACAUCUAUCACUACAGAGUGAAUUCCCUACGGUUCAAUCAUAUUUCGAGCACCAUUUAACAUGAAUAGUAAGGAAAUAAAUGAACCUGAAAUUUGAGAUUUCGACUGUCACUUGAUGUUCAAAUGUGAUACAAGCAAAAAUUGUGCGAUGAACUUGGCAGGGACUGAUUGAACAUCGACAAUCCAAUCCGGAACCACGACCUUAAACCACGAACGACACCAGAGAGCUUCAAGCCCGAUCGGACCUCAGUUGAACUCCAUAUUGAGAUGAAAAAUCGAACAGAAAGAAGCGGUUGGAAUAUUAUUUUUUUUUAAGUUUCUGAUUUUUUUUUGAAAUGAAACAAAGAUUCGAACAAAAAUGAAACUCAAACAAUUUUUUUUCUGGAAUGCCAAUUAUAUGUGAAGCAGAAAAUCUGAGAAGAACACCCAAAAAAAUCAAGAACCCUAGUUUAUUUUUUCCGAAAUUCUCCUCUCCUGUCCAAAGAAAUCCAAAAUAUAUAGGGAUCCUAGAAGCUUCUUCUUGCAUCCUUUCCAAGAAUCGAAUCCGCGUAGACCACAAACAAAAUCCGAAAAUUCCAUUUUAACAAAAAUCAAAAAAUGGAAAUCUUGGAUCAAAAAUUAAUCCAACGACUCCCAUUUUUCAACAUUUAUUUCAAGGGCUCAUAUUUGCUUCCAAAUCGAACGAAAAAGAAAGAAAAAUGCGUUCUUCAUGAUAACGAACACGUGAAGAAGGAGAUGAGAGUAGAGGGGACCUGGGGGGACUAUUGGGUGAACUCACCGGGUUUGGGGCGAGUUUCGGCGAGUUGAGAGGCGGGCAGCGAUGAGCUGUGGCGGCUGGCGUUUGGAUAGGGUCUUUAGGGUUAGGUUUGGGGAGAUAA